This 765-nucleotide long non-coding RNA is filed under the name Anser brachyrhynchus (Pink-footed goose). RNAcentral describes it as "lncRNA (ENSABRG00000015229.1)". Lineage: Eukaryota; Metazoa; Chordata; Aves; Anseriformes; Anatidae. The record is from RNAcentral.
AAGGAUACAACAGUGCCUGCCUUCUCUCUUGGAUGCAUGCUUAGAUGAUUGCAAAAACUUUACUAUUGGUGGUAAUUUACUUCUGUGGGUCUGACAAUUAACACUAAAAGCACUUCAAUCAAGUUAACCAAAGAAAUAAAGAGCAGGGAAAAUAGAGAGAGAGAAGGUAUGCUGGGAAACCAUUUCCAAUUCGACUGGGUAAUUCUCAGCUCCCUGUAGCCCUGGAGCACUUGAGCCUGAAUUUAGAGGUCUCCGAGACUGUUCAUCUGCAACGGAGCAUAACACACGAAGCUGAUGUGUAACAUCUUUACCAAGAACUGGUUUCUCAGUUCUGUGGACUCCCAGACACCAGAGGAAACUCCGCCUAAGUCCUUGCAGGGGGAGAUCUGGCUCAUCAGACAAAUAUCAGACAAAUCAACCUUACCUUGCAUGUGGCUCCCCUGGUGCCAGGAUUUGGACUUGCACAUGGGUGACAGAAGUGUCUCAGUGACGCCGGUGCAUCUGGUGACAUUGCUGAUGGCUGUGCAACUUCCCCUGACAUCUACGGAGGACAUGAAACGUGCUGCUCACUGGUUCUGGUCUGUUCAUGCAAGGCAUCCUGCUAUUCCUUCCUUCUCGCAUGGGAGUAGGAAUCUGCAAAACCAUAGGAUGAAGAAGGCCCCGUGGAAGAAAAGCUCCUGCACAGCAUCGCCACAAGCAGGGCAAACAUCCAGCGGCGGAAAUACAAACGCCUCCUGUAAAAAUAAGAAACAAGAGAGCAAGUGA